This is a non-coding RNA of Schistosoma haematobium, 77 nucleotides long. The record is from Rfam. Lineage: Eukaryota; Metazoa; Platyhelminthes; Trematoda; Strigeidida; Schistosomatidae.
AGUUUCUGAGUCCGUGCCGAAAUUUCGUCAAACACCGACCCACCAGAGCAGAUGAGAUCUUCAAGAUAAGUGGAGCU